CGGGAACUCAAAGGAGACUGCCAGUGAUAAACUGGAGGAAGGUGGGGAUGACGUCAAGUCAUCAUGGCCCUUACGAGUAGGGCUACACACGUGCUACAAUGGCGCAUACAAAGAGAAGCGACCUCGCGAGAGCAAGCGGACCUCAUAAAGUGCGUCGUAGUCCGGAUUGGAGUCUGCAACUCGACUCCAUGAAGUCGGAAUCGCUAGUAAUCGUGGAUCAGAAUGCCACGGUGAAUACGUUCCCGGGCCUUGUACACACCGCCCGUCACACCAUGGGAGUGGGUUGCAAAAGAAGUAGGUAGCUUAACCUUCGGGAGGGCGCUUACCACUUUGUGAUUCAUGACUGGGGUGAAGUCGUAACAAGGUAACCGUAGGGGAACCUGCGGUUGGAUCACCUCCUUACCUUAAAGAA
RNAcentral lists this ribosomal RNA (412 nucleotides) under Enterobacter hormaechei. RNAcentral's name for it is "bacterial SSU rRNA". It matches the Rfam family "Bacterial small subunit ribosomal RNA", at positions 1132 to 1533 of the family's 1533-position model. Lineage: Bacteria; Pseudomonadati; Pseudomonadota; Gammaproteobacteria; Enterobacterales; Enterobacteriaceae. The record is from RNAcentral. RNAcentral also lists the same sequence under 1 other name.